RNAcentral lists this unclassified non-coding RNA (338 nucleotides) under uncultured fungus. RNAcentral's name for it is "partial contains 5.8S ribosomal RNA, internal transcribed spacer 2, and large subunit ribosomal RNA". Lineage: Eukaryota; Fungi. The record is from RNAcentral.
AACGCACAUUGCGCUUUCUGGCAUUCCGGAGAGCAUGCCUGUUUCAGAAUCGUGAAGUCUCUCUCCUCCCACCAAUCUCCUGUGUGAUUUGUGGGUGGAGGAUGUGGAUGGUUUCUGCUCUGCCUCUCUCUUGUCGAGAACCAGAGCAGAUCAUCUGAAAGUCAGCGGUGUCUUUGUCGAUCGUUUGACGGUGUCGAUCCUGUUCAAGUGCAACAGAGGUUUCUUUUACACUUGGAUGCAUCUGCACCGUCGAGGUUCGGCUGCCCGUCCCUCCCUUGACAACAAACUUUUUCUGUCAGUGCGAUCUGAAAUCAGGCAAGAAAACCCGCUGAACUUAA